AUAUGGCUUCCUUGGCCUCCCAACCAACGGAUCUAUUACCAUUGCAUAGACAAAGACAUCAAGCAAUGGUGCAGCUAAAGAACUUGCUUGAUGAUACACAUACAGUCAGGGCAAGACAGAACUGGGGCUAAGGAGAUUCACAGUAAGCACUUUGCAACAGGGCGCUAGAUUGCAAUUAAGAGGUCUCCUUUGAGAUCAGAGCUAGACUGGAGGCCAGCAAGGUCAAGCAAUCCUUCUGUCUCUGCUCCCACAGACCUCUGGGGUCACAGGCAAGCAUAGAAUCAUACUCAGUCCUUUCCCAGGAUUUGAACUCAGGUACUCAUGCUUGUGCAGCCUACACUCUUAUCUGAAGGCCAUGUCCUCAACCCCUGAGUGUUUUCUUUCCAUCACAAGAUUAGCAAGAUUUAACUUUUUCUUUGCUCUGAGCCAUAGACAUCAUAGACACUUUGGCAAGCAACACUACCUGACUCAAGAGCUAGCAGACUCUAAAGUCUAUGUCCUCCCCAUCAAUCCCACAACAGUGAAUACAGUGUUUGCUUAUGCAGUGAUGGCUCUAGCUAACACUCCUGUUGCUGCUGCCCCUUCAGGAAUUCAUUGUAAAAGAGGUUCACUGUACUUUGAAAGGCAAUUUGGAAUUCUUCAUGACAAAGGUUCUGUAUAAAGGAGGUUAUAUAAUGGA
Molecule: long non-coding RNA, 679 nt
Filed under: Mus pahari (shrew mouse)
Lineage: Eukaryota; Metazoa; Chordata; Mammalia; Rodentia; Muridae
Description: lncRNA (MGP_PahariEiJ_G0005025.1)
Source: RNAcentral